Molecule: ribosomal RNA, 686 nt
Filed under: uncultured bacterium
Lineage: Bacteria
Description: bacterial SSU rRNA
Rfam family: Bacterial small subunit ribosomal RNA
Source: RNAcentral
AGAGUUUGAUCAUGGCUCAGAUUGAACGCUGGCGGUAGGCUUAACACAUGCAAGUCGUGCGAGAAAGUAUCUUCGGAUAUGAGUAGAGCGGCGGACGGGUGAGUAACGCGUAGGAAUCUACCUAGUAGAAGGGGAUAGCCCGGGGAAACCCGGAUUAAUACCGUAUACCUCCUUCGGGAGAAAGAAGGCCUCUCUUUGAAGCUUUCGCUAUUAGAUGAGCCUGCGUAAGAUUAGCUUGUUGGUGAGGUAAAGGCUCACCAAGGCUACGAUCUUUAGCUGGUCUGAGAGGACGAUCAGCCACAUUGGGACUGAGACACGGCCCAGACUCCUACGGGAGGCAGCAGUGGGGAAUAUUGGACAAUGGGCGCAAGCCUGAUCCAGCCAUACCGCGUGUGUGAAGAAGGCCUUCGGGUUGUAAAGCACUUUAAGCAGGGAGAAAAAGUUAUAAGUAAAUACCUUAUAACCGUGAUGUUACCUGCAGAAUAAGCACCGGCUAAUUCCGUGCCAGCAGCCGCGGUAAUACGGAAGGUGCAAGCGUUAAUCGGAAUUACUGGGCGUAAAGCGCGCGUAGGUGGUUUGUUAAGUUGGAUGUGAAAGCCCUGGGCUCAACCUAGGAACUGCAUCCAAAACUAACUCACUAGAGUACGAUAGAGGGAGGUAGAAUUCAUAGUGUAGCGGUGGAAUGC